UGGAACUUGCAUUUAGAAAGUAUUGAGUGCAACAGAUUUUAAGCAUGGAUAGAAACAUCAAAUGUGGAAAAGCGGUCAGAUUGGAUUUCGUAAGAAAUAAUAUGGAUUGGAUGGAACAGUGGCACAGUGGAAUCCCGAUAGUUCGUGCAUCGAUUAUUCGUAUUUCCGCCUAGUUCGUACAAAAUUGGCGGUUCCCAGAGUAAAUUUUCUUUAUUUUUGGACUCCCGAUAUUUGGUUUAAGUUAAUAAGUGUGUGAAGAGUUCCUGACAAAUUGGCCGACCCGAAAACCUGACUCCAAGUUAGUCUGAUAAAGGGAAUAUCAAGAAACAUCCAAAAAGACCAGCAACUCGGAUAAAAUAAGAAAUUAACCAGCAGUGUAAUCUGAAUAUGUUGGUUUGCAUCGUAAAACGUAGAUUAUAUGACUUGUGCUAAUGGGAAGAAUUGAACAGCAAGGAUAAAAUAAAGUUUUUUGAACGCCACCCCAGUUGAAAUACUGUCCUCUAGAGUGACGAAAAAUAUGAUCAUGUAUCAGAUGAAAGGGCUCGACUAUCAAUUUUCGAAGCUGAUCUUUAGGUGAACACAGGGGAGUAAAGGCUCAAAAUGUUUGCCCCAAACACUGAAACCGAUGUCAUUCUCAAAACCUACCCAACCGAUAAAUCUGAAAAAAUCACAGUGAUGCAUCCCUACAAUAUCUAGGCCUUGAAAUACAUCUCGU
Hermetia illucens (black soldier fly) is the source of this 715-nucleotide long non-coding RNA. RefSeq lists it as uncharacterized. The record is from RefSeq and is a predicted model, not a curated record. NCBI's taxonomy places the organism in Eukaryota, Metazoa, Arthropoda, Insecta, Diptera, Stratiomyidae. The transcript has 3 exons.